GAUGAACGCUGGCGGCGUGCCUAAUACAUGCAAGUCGAGCGAACAGACGAGGAGCUUGCUCCUCUGACGUUAGCGGCGGACGGGUGAGUAACACGUGGAUAACCUACCUAUAAGACUGGGAUAACUUCGGGAAACCGGAGCUAAUACCGGAUAAUAUAUUGAACCGCAUGGUUCAAUAGUGAAAGACGGUUUUGCUGUCACUUAUAGAUGGAUCCGCGCCGCAUUAGCUAGUUGGUAAGGUAACGGCUUACCAAGGCGACGAUGCGUAGCCGACCUGAGAGGGUGAUCGGCCACACUGGAACUGAGACACGGUCCAGACUCCUACGGGAGGCAGCAGUAGGGAAUCUUCCGCAAAGGGCGAAAGCCUGACGGAGCAACGCCGCGUGAGUGAUGAAGGUCUUCGGAUCGUAAAACUCUGUUAUUAGGGAAGAACAAAUGUGUAAGUAACUAUGCACGUCUUGACGGUACUCAAUCAGAAAGCCACGGCUAACUACGUG
Molecule: ribosomal RNA, 497 nt
Filed under: uncultured bacterium
Lineage: Bacteria
Description: partial 16S ribosomal RNA
Rfam family: Bacterial small subunit ribosomal RNA
Source: RNAcentral